Molecule: long non-coding RNA, 549 nt
Organism: Talpa occidentalis (Iberian mole)
Lineage: Eukaryota; Metazoa; Chordata; Mammalia; Eulipotyphla; Talpidae
Exons: 3
Source: RefSeq, a predicted model, not a curated record
UCUCCAGGAUAAGAACUGGUCAACUGGUCUUCUGAUAUCUUUCCUGGGACAAUUCUGUGCAUUUCGUGUAGUUUAACCCACCCUUUCCUUAAUGAAUUCUCUCAAGUUGAGAGUGUCCGUAGUCAUAGGACAUAAUAUAGCCUCAUGCUAUACUUGAAAAGCUUUGGAUUUAGAAAGAUAAAAGGCAGGUUUGAGCCUUGACUCCACCAAUUACUAGACAACCCACGGUUUCCCCAUGAAGUAAAAGGCAAGUAACAGAGAUAAUACUUAGGAAGACUAUUGUGAAGAUCAAUGAGGAAAUGUCUGAAACUCUCAGCAGUGCAACUCCAUGACGAGAGAGAUGAAGUGAUCACCUUGAAGUCACACACUCAGCAGGACGACAAAUCCGCGCAGCCCGAGGCGAUGGAGAUCCCGCCCAGUUCCAGAUCGGAGAUCCCGGCCUACACCUGCGACCCCUCUUUACCCCCGCGGACCUCGAUUUUCCAUCAGACUUGGCCCAGAGGCCUCGAGGACAGUCCGGCGAGGUCCUCUUCCGCUCCCAGCGGCCCC